RNAcentral lists this ribosomal RNA (583 nucleotides) under Pantoea agglomerans. RNAcentral describes it as "bacterial SSU rRNA". It matches the Rfam family "Bacterial small subunit ribosomal RNA", at positions 847 to 1430 of the family's 1533-position model. Lineage: Bacteria; Pseudomonadati; Pseudomonadota; Gammaproteobacteria; Enterobacterales; Erwiniaceae. The record is from RNAcentral.
CGGAGCUAACGCGUUAAGUCGACCGCCUGGGGAGUACGGCCGCAAGGUUAAAACUCAAAUGAAUUGACGGGGGCCCGCACAAGCGGUGGAGCAUGUGGUUUAAUUCGAUGCAACGCGAAGAACCUUACCUACUCUUGACAUCCACGGAAUUCGGCAGAGAUGCCUUAGUACCUUCGGGAACCGUGAGACAGGUGCUGCAUGGCUGUCGUCAGCUCGUGUUGUGAAAUGUUGGGUUAAGUCCCGCAACGAGCGCAACCCUUAUCCUUUGUUGCCAGCGAUUCGGUCGGGAACUCAAAGGAGACUGCCGGUGAUAAACCGGAGGAAGGUGGGGAUGACGUCAAGUCAUCAUGGCCCUUACGAGUAGGGCUACACACGUGCUACAAUGGCGCAUACAAAGAGAAGCGACCUCGCGAGAGCAAGCGGACCUCACAAAGUGCGUCGUAGUCCGGAUCGGAGUCUGCAACUCGACUCCGUGAAGUCGGAAUCGCUAGUAAUCGUGGAUCAGAAUGCCACGGUGAAUACGUUCCCGGGCCUUGUACACACCGCCCGUCACACCAUGGGAGUGGGUUGCAAAAGAAGUAGG